Molecule: ribosomal RNA, 1919 nt
Filed under: Clostridium botulinum
Lineage: Bacteria; Bacillati; Bacillota; Clostridia; Eubacteriales; Clostridiaceae
Description: partial 23S ribosomal RNA
Rfam family: Bacterial large subunit ribosomal RNA
Source: RNAcentral
AGGUCAAGCUACAAAGGGCGCAUGGUGAAUGCCUUGGCAUCAGGAGCCGAUGAAGGACGCGAUAAGCUGCGAUAAGCUUCGGGUAGACGCACAUAGUCAGAGAUCCGAAGAUUUCCGAAUGAGGAAACUCACAUGGGAAACCCCAUGUAUCGUAAAGUGAAUACAUAGCUUUAUGAAGGUAAACCCAGGGAACUGAAACAUCUAAGUACCUGGAGGAAGAGAAAGAAAAAUCGAUUUUCUUAGUAGCGGCGAGCGAAAGGGAAAGAGCCCAAACCAAAGAUUUAUCUUUGGGGUUGCGGACAGAACAUUAACGAGAAAUUAUGGUUAACCGAACACAACUGGAAAGUUGGACCGUAGGGGGUAAUAGUCCUGUAGGUGAAAAUUAUAAUGAUCAAGUUCUGAUCCAGAGUACCACGAGACACGUGAAACCUUGUGGGAAGCAGGGAGGACCACCUCCCAAGGCUAAAUACUACCUGAUGACCGAUAGUGAAGCAGUACCGUGAGGGAAAGGUGAAAAGAACCCCGGGAGGGGAGUGAAAUAGAACCUGAAACCAUGUGCCUACAACCGAUCAAAGCACCUUAUGUGUGUGAUGAUGUGCUUUUUGUAGAACGAGCCAACGAGUUACGGUAUGUAGCAAGGUUAAGUACUUAAGGUACGGAGCCGAAGGGAAACCGAGUCUUAAUAGGGCGACUAGUUGCAUGCUGUAGACCCGAAACCGGGUGACCUAUCCAUGGCCAGGUUGAAGCGAGGGUAAAACCUCGUGGAGGACCGAACCACGUUGCUGUUGAAAAAGCAUGGGAUGAGCUGUGGAUAGCGGAGAAAUUCCAAUCGAACUCGGAUAUAGCUGGUUCUCCUCGAAAUAGCUUUAGGGCUAGCGUCGGAAAAUGUGAGUACUGGGGGUAGAGCACUGAAUGGGCUAGGGGGCAUAGCGCUUACCGAACCUUAUCAAACUCCGAAUACCAGAUACUAUCAGUCCGGCAGUCAGACUGCGAAAGAUAAGUUCCGUAGUCAAAAGGGAAACAGCCCAGAUCGUCAGCUAAGGUCCCAAAGUGUAAGUUAAGUGGAAAAGGAUGUGGGAUUUCUAAGACAACUAGGAUGUUGGCUUAGAAGCAGCCACUCAUUAAAAGAGUGCGUAAUAGCUCACUAGUCAAGAGAUCCUGCGCCGAAAAUGUCCGGGGCUCAAACUUACCACCGAAGCUACGGGUUCACACAAUAGUGUGAGCGGUAGAGGAGCGUCGUAAUCGGGCUGAAGUCGUACCGUAAGGAGCGGUGGACUGAUUACGAGUGAGAAUGUUGGCAUUAGUAGCGAGAUGUGGGUGAGAAUCCCACAGGCCGAAUACCUAAGGUUUCCUCAGGAAGGUUCGUCCGCUGAGGGUUAGUCGGGACCUAAGCUGAGGCCGAAAGGCGUAAGCGAUGGACAAUCGGUUGAUAUUCCGAUACCACUAUUAUCGUUAUUAUCGAUGGUGUGACGGAGAAGGAUAGGAUGUGCUAGCUAUUGGAUGCUAGUCUAAGCGUUUAGGGAGUUAGGAUAGGCAAAUCCGUUCUAACAAUUCUGAGGCGUGAUGGGGAAGGUUCUAAGGAACCGAAGUAUCUGAUUCCAUGCUUCCAAGAAAAGCAUCUAGAAAGAGAAAUAGUGCCCGUACCGCAAACCGACACAGGUAGGUGAGGAGAGAAUCCUAAGGCCGGCGGAAGAAUUGCAGUUAAGGAACUAGGCAAAUUGACCCCGUAACUUCGGGAGAAGGGGUGCCUGCGAGAGCAGGCCGCAGAGAAUAGGCACAAGCAACUGUUUAACAAAAACACAGGUCUCUGCUAAAGCGAAAGCUGAUGUAUAGGGGCUGACGCCUGCCCGGUGCUGGAAGGUUAAGGGGAACACUUAGCGUAAGCGAAGGUGUGAACUUAAGCCCCAGUAAACGGCGGC